This 119-nucleotide ribosomal RNA is filed under the name Larimichthys crocea (large yellow croaker). The record is from RNAcentral. Lineage: Eukaryota; Metazoa; Chordata; Actinopteri; Sciaenidae.
GCUUACGGCCAUACCACCCUGAAUGCGCCCGAUCUCGUCUGAUCUCGGAAGCUAAGCAGGGUCAGGCCUGGUUAGUACUUGGAUGGGAGACCGCCUGGGAAUACCAGGUGCUGUAAACU